GACGAACGCUGGCGGCGUGCUUAACACAUGCAAGUCGAACGGAAAGGCCCUGCUUUUGUGGGGUGCUCGAGUGGCGAACGGGUGAGUAACACGUGAGUAACCUGCCCUUGACUUUGGGAUAACUUCAGGAAACUGGGGCUAAUACCGGAUAGGAGCUCCUGCUGCAUGGUGGGGGUUGGAAAGUUUCGGCGGUUGGGGAUGGACUCGCGGCUUGUCAGCUUGUUGGUGGGGUAGUGGCUUACCAAGGCUUUGACGGGUAGCCGGCCUGAGAGGGUGACCGGCCACAUUGGGACUGAGAUACGGCCCAGAGUCCUACAGGAGGCAGCAGUGGGGAAUAUUGCACAAUGGGCGGAAGCCUGAUGCAGAAACGCCGCGUGCGGGAUGACGGCCUUCGGGUUGUAAACCGCUUUCGCCUGUGACGAAGCGUGAGUGACGGUAAUGGGUAAAGAAGCACCGGCUAACUACGUG
This 468-nucleotide ribosomal RNA is filed under the name uncultured bacterium. RNAcentral describes it as "partial 16S ribosomal RNA". It matches the Rfam family "Bacterial small subunit ribosomal RNA", at positions 28 to 507 of the family's 1533-position model. The record is from RNAcentral.